AAAGUUUUAAGUUAAAAAAACUAUUAGCCUUCAAAGUUGAAUUUAUUAUUAAAUAAACUUU
This 61-nucleotide transfer RNA is filed under the name Paurocephala sauteri. Its description in RNAcentral is "tRNA-Trp". Lineage: Eukaryota; Metazoa; Arthropoda; Insecta; Hemiptera; Liviidae. The record is from RNAcentral.